GUUUUGAAGGGGGUUGUAGCUGAUCUUUUCAAGAUAUGUGCACACCUCUAUCUAUACACCCAUGUGCACCUUUUGUAGGCUUUUUUUUGCCUAUGUUUAUACACCACACACCAUUUUGUACAAGAAUGUUAUUAAUGAAAAUUUAAUACAACUUUCAACAACGGAUCUCUUGGCUCUCGCAUCGAUGAAGAACGCAGCGAAAUGCGAUAAGUAAUGUGAAUUGCAGAAUUCAGUGAAUCAUCGAAUCUUUGAACGCACCUUGCGCUCCUUGGUAUUCCGAGGAGCAUGCCUGUUUGAGUGUCAUUAAAUUAUCAACCUCUUCAAGAGGCUUGGAUUUGGAGUGUUGCUGGCUUGUUGUUGGCUCCUCUUAAAUGAAUUAAGCUUGUGUGUAGGCUUUGGUUUGAUAAUAUCUAUGCCAUCGCUGCAAUGCAAAACAACCUUGAAAUUUGACCUCAAAUCAGGUAGGACUACCCGCUGAACUUAAGCAUAUCAAUAAGCGGAGGAAAAGAAACUAACAAGGAUU
This 523-nucleotide ribosomal RNA is filed under the name Hygrophorus pustulatus. RNAcentral's name for it is "eukaryotic LSU rRNA". The stretch from base 150 to 303 matches the Rfam family "5.8S ribosomal RNA". The record is from RNAcentral. Lineage: Eukaryota; Fungi; Basidiomycota; Agaricomycetes; Agaricales; Hygrophoraceae.